This is a long non-coding RNA of Cephus cinctus (wheat stem sawfly), 1797 nucleotides long. RefSeq lists it as uncharacterized. The transcript has 2 exons. NCBI's taxonomy places the organism in Eukaryota, Metazoa, Arthropoda, Insecta, Hymenoptera, Cephidae. The record is from RefSeq and is a predicted model, not a curated record.
GGUCUGGUAAAUCUAGUGUUAAAAAUGUUUCAACAAUAGGCUUCGUCAAUAGUCCUUAAAAAGUUCUAUAGUUCCCGGUCUCGUUCUAAGUGUUGCAUUGUUAACCAACGGUGAGUAAAUAAAAUCGUACUCCCGGACUCGCCGCUACGAUUUAGCGCCAUGUUUUUGGUGUCGCCUAAAACCGUAGCGUGGUGCAACUCCCUACUCAUCUCUGGUAUUAACGGAUAAAAAUACAACACAGCCAACAAGUAUCGAGAUUGUCGAAAGCACUAUCGAGACUGCAGGAAACGAGAAUCAACGAGAUAAAAGAAUCGAUCUUGACGAGUAUCGAUCAGCAGCAUAAACAGAGCUUCGAGGUUUCGACGCAGACGUCGCGCGCGACGCUAGAAUUUGACGCGUCAACAGUUGCCGUUAGAACGUCAAUGGCGGCGGGACAAUCGGAGGCGGAAAUUAUGUUGUUGAAACCGGAGGAUGAUCCAGAGGAGGACAUGAGGCAGCAACUGAUGACGAACGAGAAGCAGAUCGAUUAUCUUCAGCGACAGAACAUCCGAUUGGCCAGAACGCUGAAUCGACUGCAAAGGCACAGACGUUCAACCCCAUGUUAAAUGACGCAUCCACAAUGCACGAUAGGUCUGUCGUCGCUCUGGGAUUUAUGUAGAGCCAAGUAAGCGAUAGCUCAAUCCUCGAAAAUCCAGUGUCUCCCGAAACGUAGAAAACAACCAGUCCAAAAGCUCGAAUCCCAUUCAGCCUCGUACCACAGCAUCCAGCCAAUCUGUAUUCCUUGUUUUCUAAGAUAAGACAGGGUGAAGACGUAUCCUUGGGGUGAGUGUCCAUAAGUUACACCGUUAACGAUACCAACGGAUCCCAGUGAAAUUCGUCGCGCGUAAAAUUUAAGACCGUUUCGACAGACAAUUUCGUUAGAUAAGACAGGAUUUAAAAUACUGGCCAACUUGGUUAUACGCUCACGAAACAUUCUCUUUUAUCUCUAUCAGAUUUCCCUAACAGUUUGUAAAAGAAAAAGAAGUCAAAUAAAGACCUAUCCUAAGAGACUCACCUCUUUCUUUUUAUUCGCUGUAAAACAUCUUUUGUUCUUAAUCAAAUUAUUGCAUUAACGCCAUCAAUAAAAUUUUCAUAAUACACUCUUGCGUUAACCUUAAAUGUCUUAUAAGCUCGAUUAAUCAUCAGCUGAUAGUUUCGGCAUCGCGCAAGACGCCUAAAACCACGUCCAUCCACGUCGUGAAAUUAGCUCCAGAUCGAUCAGCGUCUCUGACGGAACUAUGCCGGGAAGUAGUUAUCGAGGGCUGUCAAAGUUACGUAUAAUAUAUGCGCCCAGGUUAAGGAACAUCGAGGUCCCGCAGAGUCAGCAGUGGUAUCGCUCGUAAGAAAAUCAACGUCGCUCGAUCAGCCAUCAUUUUGCCGAACAAUUAUAACUCACGGUAAAGUAAUUUUGAUCUAAUUACACUUCCACCUUAAUUAACGAUCGUCAUAAGCAAUAAAAUCAAACUGACUCUGCGAUUUCCACCGACUUUCGCGUUAAUUCAAUUUACCCCUUAUCGAGGAGCCGUCAUAAAACUCAAAUCAGCACGAACCGUCUCAGCGACAAUCAAGAGGAACAGAGGACAAAUCAUUAACCAUGUAGAAGGAACCGACCUUUUUCAAAAUAUAUUUUUCCCUCUAUUUCCAUUUUAUAUAUAUUUACAAUUUAUCUCGUAGAGUUUAGUUUUUAAGUAAAUAAUCCUGUGAUCCUAAACCACUAGUCUGGGUUCGAUUGAAAAAAAAAGAAGAGAGUAAAGAAGA